UUUUCCGUCUCAAAUCGUAUAUUUUACCAGGAUUAAUUCUCACAAUAUAUAUAUAUAUAUAUAUAUAAAACAAGAUUUCAACAAAAUUAUAAUAAUAUCACAAUUAAAAAAAUCAAAAACCUAAAUUAAAAGCCCCAGUAAAAUAUCCUCUAUUUAACUUUAAAUGCACUACAAGAAAAUUAUGACUAACAAUUCAAAUUUCUAACACAAGAAAAUUAUGACUAACAAUUCAAAUUUCUAACAUCAACUCCAUAACUUAAAUUUCUGAACCAGAAGAGACCA
RNAcentral lists this long non-coding RNA (282 nucleotides) under Populus trichocarpa (black cottonwood). Its description in RNAcentral is "long non-coding RNA (PTRI_LNC001694)". Lineage: Eukaryota; Viridiplantae; Streptophyta; Magnoliopsida; Malpighiales; Salicaceae. The record is from RNAcentral.